AGGGUCAUCUCAUUAAAAAUCCUAGUACACAAAGGGCCAAAAGUUUGCUUGACAUUCCGUGUGCUCAUCGUAUAAUAAUAAGUGGCACACCUAUUCAGAAUAAUCUUAAGGAACUGUGGGCCUUGUUCCACUUUUGUUGCCCUGGUUUACUUGGUGACAAAAACUGGUUUAAGGAACAAUAUGAAUACUACAUUCUUCGCGGAAAUGACAAAAAUGCUUCUGAUAGAGAAAAGCGUAUUGGUUCAACAGUUGCAAAGG
Non-coding RNA from Carica papaya (papaya), 258 nucleotides. The record is from RefSeq and is a predicted model, not a curated record. NCBI's taxonomy places the organism in Eukaryota, Viridiplantae, Streptophyta, Magnoliopsida, Brassicales, Caricaceae.